Molecule: ribosomal RNA, 253 nt
Filed under: uncultured bacterium
Lineage: Bacteria
Description: partial 16S ribosomal RNA
Rfam family: Bacterial small subunit ribosomal RNA
Source: RNAcentral
UACGUAGGUGACCAGCGUUGUCCGGAUUUACUGGGCGUAAAGAGCGCGCAGGCGGUCGUUCAAGUCGAGUGUGAAAGCCCCCGGCUCAACUGGGGAGGGUCAUUCGAUACUGAUCGACUCGAAGGCAGGAGAGGGAAGUGGAAUUCCCGGUGUAGUGGUGAAAUGCGUAGAUAUCGGGAGGAACACCUGUGGCGAAGGCGACUUCCUGGCCUGUUCUUGACGCUGAGGCGCGAAAGCUAGGGGAGCAAACGGG